GACGAACGCUGGCGGCGUGCUUAACACAUGCAAGUCGAACGGAAAGGCCCUGCUUUUGUGGGGUGCUCGAGUGGCGAACGGGUGAGUAACACGUGAGUAACCUGCCCUUGACUUUGGGAUAACUUCAGGAAACUGGGGCUAAUACCGGAUAGGAGCUCCUGCUGCAUGGUGGGGGUUGGAAAGUUUCGGCGGUUGGGGAUGGACUCGCGGCUUAUCAGCUUGUUGGUGGGGUAGUGGCUUACCAAGGCUUUGACGGGUAGCCGGCCUGAGAGGGUGACCGGCCACAUUGGGACUGAGAUACGGCCCAGACUCCUACGGGAGGCAGCAGUGGGGAAUAUUGCACAACGGGCGGAAGCCUGAUGCAGCAACGCCGCGUGCGGGAUGACGGCCUUCGGGUUGUAAACCGCUUUCGCCUGUGACGAAGCGUGAGUGACGGUAAUGGGUAAAGAAGCGCCGGCUAACUACGUGCCAGCAGCCGCGGUGAUACGUAGGGUGCGAGCGUUGUCCGGAUUUAUUGGGCGUAAAGGGCUCGUAGGUGGUUGAUCGCGUCGGAAGUGUAAUCUUGGGGCUUAACCCUGAGCGUGCUUUCGAUACGGGUUGACUUGAGGAAGGUAGGGGAGAAUGGAAUUCCUGGUGGAGCGGUGGAAUGCGCAGAUAUCAGGAGGAACACCAGUGGCGAAGGCGGUUCUCUGGGCCUUUCCUGACGCUGAGGAGCGAAAGCGUGGGGAGCGAACAGGCUUAGAUACCCUGGUAGUCCACGCUGUAAACGGUGGGUACUAGGUGUGGGGUCCAUUCCACGGGUUCCGUGCCGUAGCUAACGCUUUAAGUACCCCGCCUGGGGAGUACGGCCGCAAGGCUAAAACUCAAAGGAAUUGACGGGGCCCCGCACAAGCGGCGGAGCAUGCGGAUUAAUUCGAUGCAACGCGUAGAACCUUACCUGGGUUUGACAUGGAUCGGGAGUGCUCAGAGAUGGGUGUGCCUCUUUUGGGGUCGGUUCACAAGUGGUGCAUGGCUGUCGUCCGCUCGUGUCGUGAGAUGUUGGGUUAAGUCCCGCAACGAGCGCAACCCUUGUUCACUGUUGCCAGCACGUUAUGGUGGGGACUCAGUGGAGACCGCCGGGGUCAACUCGGAGGAAGGUGGGGAUGACGUCAAGUCAUCAUGCCCCUUAUGUCCAGGGCUUCACGCAUGCUACAAUGGCUGGUACAGAGAGUGGCGAGCCUGUGAGGGUGAGCGAAUCUCGGAAAGCCGGUCUCAGCUCGGAUUGGGGUCUGCAACUCGACCUCAUGAAGUCGGAGUCGCUAGUAAUCGCAGAUCAGCAACGCUGCGGUGAAUACGUUCCCGGGGCU
RNAcentral lists this ribosomal RNA (1346 nucleotides) under uncultured bacterium. RNAcentral describes it as "partial 16S ribosomal RNA". It matches the Rfam family "Bacterial small subunit ribosomal RNA", at positions 28 to 1381 of the family's 1533-position model. The record is from RNAcentral.